GGAAUAUUGGACAAUGGGCGCAAGCCUGAUCCAGCAAUGCCGCGUGUGUGAAGAAGGCCUUCGGGUUGUAAAGCACUUUUGUACGGGAAGAAAAGUCCGGGGCGAAUAUCCUCGGAUCAUGACGGUACCGUAAGAAUAAGCACCGUCUAACUUCGUUCCAGCAGCCGCGGUAAUACGAAGGGUGCAAUCGUUAAUCGGAAGUACUGGGGGUAAAGCGUGCGUAGGCGGUUCGUUAAGUCUGUCGUGAAAGCCCUGGGCUCAACCUGGGAAUGGCGAUGGAUACUGGCGGGCUAGAGUCAGGUAGAGGGUGGUGGAAUUCCCGGUGUAGCGGUGAAAUGCGUAGAGAUCGGGAGGAACAUCUGUGGCGAAGGCGGCCACCUGGACCAUGACUGACGCUGAGGCACGAAAGCGUGGGGAGCAA
This 421-nucleotide ribosomal RNA is filed under the name uncultured bacterium. RNAcentral's name for it is "bacterial SSU rRNA". It matches the Rfam family "Bacterial small subunit ribosomal RNA", at positions 358 to 771 of the family's 1533-position model. The record is from RNAcentral.